RNAcentral lists this long non-coding RNA (3212 nucleotides) under Homo sapiens (human). RNAcentral describes it as "HSALNT0356099". Lineage: Eukaryota; Metazoa; Chordata; Mammalia; Primates; Hominidae. The record is from RNAcentral.
GCCUUGAUCUCUUGACCUUGUGAUCAUCCCGCUUUGGCCUCCCAAAGUGUUGGGAUUACAGGUGUGAGCCACCGCACCCGGCCAAGAUCAGAUCAUUCCUUUGCAACUGCAAAGACACCUUAUUCCCCAUGAAGCAUCAUUUUCCCAAAGGCUGCUGUUGCUUUCAGCUCUGGUUGGUCAUUCAUACAUUUUGGAAUGCUUUCCAUUCCCAGGAUAUAGUGCAUUGGAGAGAGAGUGGAUGAACCAAUGGACACAGCUCAGCUCUGUUGGAAGUGACAGGUGUUGUUUAGUUACAGUUGUUGGUACAUGCCCCUGGAAAAGUGCAAGUGUGGCCGGAAGUAAAUUCGAUAAAGAAUAGGCUGGGUGCGGUAGCUCACGCCUGUAAUCCGAGGACUUUGGGAGGCUGAGGCAGGCGAAUCACCUGAGGUCAGGAGUUCAGGACCAGCCUGGCUAACAUGGUGAAAGCCCGUCUCUACUAAAAUACAAAAAAUUAGCUGGAUGUGGUGGUGGGCGCCUGUAAUCCCAGCUACUCAGGAGGCUGAGGCAGGAGAAUCACAGGAACCUGAGAGGCGGAGGUUGCAGUGAGCCAAGAUUGUGCCACUGCACUCGAGCCUGGGUGACAGAGCAAGAAUCUGUCUCAAACAAACAGAAAACCCCCCAAAAACCAACAAACCAACCAAACAAAAAACAUUAGCAACAAAUGCCAAAGUGUUAAGAACCUUAGCACGGAGAGAAUUCUUAUAAAAAUCAACACAAGACAAAUACCCUAAUGGCCUAACUGGGCAAAGGACACAGUGGGUGAGUCACAAGAGAGCCAUCACCUAAGUCCACACAAAAACAUCCCAAACCUCACUAACACAUCCCUGUUAGAAUUCCAUGACCUCUGCUCUUGCUUCUGAAGGAUCCUGUACCAGGCAGGCUGGGGGCAGGGUGGGAGGGGAGAAAUCUCAAAUUCAAGAUUGUUCUUUCCAUUCAACUCCCAUCCCAAAGCCUUCUCCUCUGUCACAGGGGCAGCGCUCUGCUCACUUCCUGUCUCAGGCAUCUAUUGUCCAGUGGCCGCCACUACUCCCCAUUCCAAUGAGGACACAUCUUCUGCUAAGCUGAUGGCGUGAGAGAUGGAGUCGAUCUCACAAGUUGUUGAGUUUUAGGACUCGAGAAGACAUCUGGCCUCUUCUGUCUCCUGCAUUGACACCGCCUGUGUUCAGGAUUUCAUCACCACCCACCAGAACGAUUUCAAAAACCUCAAUGCAGCUCCUAUUCUCUGGAGUCUCCUGACUACAGUUCAUUCUUCACACUCUGAACAAGAGCAACCUUUCCACCAUGCAGCUCCAGUAAUGCUCCCCUGCACAGAAACCCUCAGGGACUCCCCACUGCACAGAAGGGAAUCAUGCCUUUCCAAGAAGAAGCAUUCAAAUCACAUCAACUAUGUCCAAUGAGCAACACUGAUAUGACUCCCACGAUAUAUACUGAGGAGUUUCAUAUAUAUUUAUUCAUUUAGAUACAUAUUAUUAUUACUGUUAUUAUUUUUAUUGUUAUUUUUGAGACAGAGUCUCGCUUUGUCGCCCAGGCUGGAAUGCAGUGGACAAGUGUUUGUGAGUUGGACAAGCUUUCGUAAAGUCAUGAAAACAUUGCCAGACAAGAUCAGCUAUAAUUAAAGAUGAAUUAGAAAAAACUCCAAAAUUCUGGAUCUUAAUUGUGCUAUUUCUUUUGUAAUUUUAUUUAUUUACUUUUCUUAUUACAAAACAAUUCAAAUUAUGGCAGAAAAAUAAGAAAGGGCAGACAACUGCAUACAUGCCCACAUAUGACCAACACAUGACAUCUUCCCCAUUCAAUGACAACUACUUCUUGAUCUUCUUCUAGUAAAAAAAUGAAUCAUAUGAUGUCUACUACUUGAAAACAACUCCAUUUUAUUUACUCAGUCCUCCGCUGUUUAAAAUUUAUGUUGAUUUUGACAAAUCUCAUGUUUUAUACACUCACGUUUUCACCACUUUUUUGCUAUCAGUAGAGGCAAAGAAGCAGUAACAACUAGAUAAAAUGGAUAGGAAAUAAAAAAUAAAAGGUUUGGGAAAAGACCCCUAAAGUUCUGAAAAAUGGCUUAAAAAUACUUAAAGACACAUGAAAAGUUGUGAAAACAACCCCAAGUGCACUUACACCUUACAUAAAAAAAGCGAACUGAAAUUGGUGGCUAGGGAUAUUUGUCUUCAAACAAAGCAGUCUUCUCAGUUGCUUCUGGCCAUCGCCCGCAAUCUUUCAGACUGAAAUGCUCUCUAAGAAGUCAGUGACCUUCUACCCAACAUAAUGGACGCCCCUGCACAUCAGGCCUUUUAAAUAAGAACAGACUGGCAACAACUUGUUGUGCAUAGUAGCACAAGAAGGAGACUUUGCACCUUAGUGAUAUUGAUUUGUCCAACCCAUGAACAUGGUAUAUCUCUCCAUUGAUUUUGUUCCUUAAUUUCUCUAAGCAAUGCUUUGUAGUUUUCCAUAUAUGAAAGAUGUCUUUCACAUCUUUUGUUAGAUUUAUCCGUAAGUAUCUAAUGCUUUUUAAUGUUAUUUCAAAUGACUUUUUAAAGUUUUUUAAUUUCUAAUUGUUCAUUGUGAAUGUAUAGAAAUAGAACUGAUUUUUGUGUAGUGGUGUUUUGUAUACUGCAACCAACUUAGACACAUAUGGCUGACUGAUGUUCAAAAGGUAUAAGAGAAGGUCAGUGAAGAUAAUCUUUUCAAUAAAGGGUGCUGGAAUAAUUGGAUAUGCAUAUAUAGAAACAAACAAAAUCCCAAAACAACCUUUAAUUCAUGCCUCACAUUAUAAACAAAAAUUAAUUCAAAAUGGAUCACAGCCAUAAAUGUAAACCCUAAAGCUAUAAAACUUCUAGAGGAACACAUAGAAGUAAACCUUUGUAACCUUAGGCUAGGCAAAUAUUUCUUAGAUAUGACACCAAAAGCCCAAAACACAACAUAACAAAUUAAUAAAUUAGACUUCAUAAAAAUUAAAAACUUCUGCUUUUCAAAAGACACUGCUAAGAGAAAGGAUAAGCCACAGAAUCUGAGAAAAUAUUUGCAAAUCAUAUACCUGAUUAGGGCCUCGUAUCCAGAAUAUAUAAAGAACUCUCAAAAUUCAGUAAUGAUACAAUUCAAUUUUUUAUACAUAAGACAGAGUCAGAAAAAAAAAAAAAGACAGUCUCGCUCUGUGUCCCAGGCUGGAGUGCAGUGGCGCG